CAGUAGCCACGGUAAUACAGAGGGUGCGAGCGUUAAUCGGAUUUACUGGGCGUAAAGCGUGCGUAGGCGGCUUUUUAAGUCGGAUGUGAAAUCCCUGAGCUUAACUUAGGAAUUGCAUUCGAUACUGGGAAGAUAGAGUAUGGGAGAGGAUGGUAGAAUUCCAGGUGUAGCGGUGAAAUGCGUAGAGAUCUGGAGGAAUACCGAUGGCGAAGGCAGCCAUCUGGCCUAAUACUGACGCUGAGGUACGAAAGCAUGGGGAGCAAACAGGAUUAGAUACCCCUGUAGUCCCUGUCUCUUAUAC
This 301-nucleotide ribosomal RNA is filed under the name uncultured bacterium. RNAcentral describes it as "partial 16S ribosomal RNA". It matches the Rfam family "Bacterial small subunit ribosomal RNA", at positions 509 to 807 of the family's 1533-position model. The record is from RNAcentral.